GAUGAACGCUAGCUACAGGCUUAACACAUGCAAGUCGAGGGGAAACGGCAUCGAAAGCUUGCUUUUGAUGGGCGUCGACCGGCGCACGGGUGAGUAACGCGUAUCCAACCUGCCCAUCACUUGGGAAUAACCUUGCGAAAGUAAGACUAAUGCCCAAUGACAUCCCACGAAGGCAUCCGAAUGGGAUUAAAGAUUUAUCGGUGAUGGAUGGGGAUGCGUCUGAUUAGCUUGUUGGCGGGGUGACGGCCCACCAGGGCAACGAUCAGUAGGGGUUCUGAGAGGAAGGUCCCCCACAUUGGAACUGAGACACGGUCCAAACUCCUACGGGAGGCAGCAGUGAGGAAUAUUGGUCAAUGGGCGAGAGCCUGAACCAGCCAAGUAGCGUGCAGGAUGACGGCCCUAUGGGUUGUAAACUGCUUUUAUAAGGGAAUAAAGUGGGUCACGUGUGACUUUUUGCAUGUACCUUAUGAAUAAGGACCGGCUAAUUCCGUG
This 492-nucleotide ribosomal RNA is filed under the name uncultured bacterium. RNAcentral describes it as "partial 16S ribosomal RNA". It matches the Rfam family "Bacterial small subunit ribosomal RNA", at positions 28 to 507 of the family's 1533-position model. The record is from RNAcentral.